This 566-nucleotide ribosomal RNA is filed under the name Spicara flexuosa (blotched picarel). RNAcentral describes it as "partial 16S ribosomal RNA". It matches the Rfam family "Bacterial large subunit ribosomal RNA", at positions 1803 to 2570 of the family's 2925-position model. The record is from RNAcentral. Lineage: Eukaryota; Metazoa; Chordata; Actinopteri; Spariformes; Centracanthidae.
UUUACCAAAAACAUCGCCUCUUGCAAGACCAAUGAAUAAGAGGUCCCGCCUGCCCUGUGACUAUAUGUUUAACGGCCGCGGUAUUUUGACCGUGCGAAGGUAGCGCAAUCACUUGUCUUUUAAAUGGAGACCCGUAUGAAUGGCUCCACGAGGGCUUAGCUGUCUCCCCCUCCCAGUCAAUGAAAUUGAUCUCCCCGUGCAGAAGCGGGGAUAAUAACAUAAGACGAGAAGACCCUAUGGAGCUUAAGGCGCCAGGGCAGCUCACGUUAAACACCCCUAGUUAAAGGAAUGAACCAAGUGAACCCUGCCCCAGUGUUUUUGGUUGGGGCGACCGCGGGGAAAUACAAAACCCCCAUGUGGACCAGGAACACUACAUGUUCCCAAACCCGAGAGCUACCGCUCUAAUAAACAGAACUUCUGACCAGCUAAGAUCCGGCAGUGCCGAUCAACGGAACGAGUUACCCUAGGGAUAACAGCGCAAUCCUCUUAAAGAGUCCUUAUCGACAAGGGGGUUUACGACCUCGAUGUUGGAUCAGGACAUCCUAAUGGUGCAGCCGCUAUUAAGG